GCCGGCUUAGCUCAAUUAGGUAGAGCAACUGACUUGUAAUCAGUAGGUUGUCAGUUCAAUUCCGACAGCCGGCA
Molecule: transfer RNA, 74 nt
Filed under: Wolbachia endosymbiont of Onchocerca gibsoni
Lineage: Bacteria; Pseudomonadati; Pseudomonadota; Alphaproteobacteria; Rickettsiales; Anaplasmataceae
Description: tRNA-Thr
Rfam family: tRNA
About the family: Transfer RNA (tRNA) molecules are approximately 80 nucleotides in length. Their secondary structure includes four short double-helical elements and three loops (D, anti-codon, and T loops).
Source: RNAcentral